RNAcentral lists this ribosomal RNA (289 nucleotides) under uncultured bacterium. RNAcentral describes it as "partial 16S ribosomal RNA". It matches the Rfam family "Bacterial small subunit ribosomal RNA", at positions 335 to 642 of the family's 1533-position model. The record is from RNAcentral.
UACCUACGGGGGGCAGCAGUGGGGGAUAUUGCACAAUGGGGGAAACCCUGAUGCAGCGACGGCGCGUGAGUGAAGAAGUAUUUCGGUAUGUAAAGCUCUAUCAGCAGGGAAGAAGAUGACAGUACCUGAGUAAGAAGCCCCGGCUAACUACGUGCCAGCAGCCGCGGUAAUACGUAGGGGGCAAGCGUUAUCCGGAUUUACUGGGUGUAAAGGGAGCGUAGACGGUUAUGUAAGUCUGGAGUGAAAGCCCGGGGCCCAACCCCGGGACUGCUUUGGAAACUGUGUAACU